This is a non-coding RNA of Kogia breviceps (pygmy sperm whale), 2154 nucleotides long. NCBI's taxonomy places the organism in Eukaryota, Metazoa, Chordata, Mammalia, Artiodactyla, Physeteridae. The record is from RefSeq and is a predicted model, not a curated record.
UUUGUGUAUUAAAAAUUAUAAAAGCAGUGAAGACUUAAGGGAAGGGGAAUUUAAAAAUUGAGAAAGUCCUUUCUAUUUCUCUUUUAAUUUACAACUGGUUUAUAGGUGUGGCAUUUACAGAUUCUUUUCCUAAUGCACUCAUUCUCACUUUAUUCUCUCUAUUGUAAGAAUUACUUUAAUUACUUUUAUACUGUAUAGAUGGGGAAAUGGAGACACAGAUCUGACUCAGGUCACAUAGCAAAGGAUUGGGAGUCAAAAACAUGAAUUCAGACCUCCUGAUAUUCUAUCCAAUAAUCUUUCACUGUCUUGUACUGCUUGGAGGUAUCUCUGUUUUCAUUUUGGUUUAAAGUUUUUCUUUUAGCUUUUUUGGGUUUUUUUAACAACAAUAAUACACAAUCAUUAAAAAAUUUUCAGAAAAGAAGAAUGAAGAGAGUAAAGAUAUAUUCCUGUAUAUAUAUGUUUAUAUAUCUUCCUAUAUUCUUACUGCCUAGAAAUCACUGCUAAUAUUUAACUAUAUCUAUCUUCAGACUUAUUUAAAUAGAUACAUUCACAGAUAUAUUUAUAGAUAGGGUUUUUUAAAUGAGAUCAAACUAUGCCUAAUUUUGUAACUUUUUCAUCUCAAAUAUAAUUUGCUGUCAGUAAAUAUGUCAUAAUUUGUUACAUAGAAUUGCAUUGUAUGAAUGUAUCAUUAUUUAGACUCCUAUUGAUGGACUUCUAGGUGGUUUCCAAUUUUUUGCUAUUACAAAGAAUGUGAUAAAAUCCCUAAUAUAUGAUUCCUUUUAUAUUUUCUGAUCACUUCUUUAAGAAAAAUUUCCAGGAAUAUCCAGUUACCAGGUCAAAAGAUAUGGCGAAACCUUUAGGCCACCAGAGGGCAUUGCAGUCAGCCUCCUUUAUCAUCAUGAUAAAUCACUGCUGUCAGAGAUGCUUAGUGAAAUUUGUUCCCAGUUAAACCAAAAAGAGAAGCAUCCUUAGACUCGAUGAGCAAUCUGCAUAGGACCUGUGGCUUGACCUUGGUGGAGCACUCCCUUGAAGCGCCCAUUUUAUCUAUAAAAGCGAAGAAUGGAGUAGGUAGAUUCAGUGUGCAGGCAAUGAAAAAAAAAAAAAAACAACAACUGGAAUCUUUUUUCCUACUUGGUUGACAUAUUUACUAAGAAUUUAACUCUUUCAAGUCUGUGAGUCCCUGCAUCUUUCCCUCAGAGACGAUGGCCUCCUCCCCUUCUCCUACUCAUCCUUCUUAACUGGUAAAAGUUAUACGUGAAUACAUUCUGGUUGUACAGGCUUCAAACAGUAAAAAUGUACGUCCUUGACCUGCUCUCCACCCAGAAGUAAUUACCAUCAACAGUUUGAUACACAACCUAACAGUACCCUUCUAUGAAUUUAAGUCAGUUUAUUUUCUACAUAGUCACCCAAUGUUUUUGAUUCCUUAUUUCCUAAGUAAUGUUCAGUAGCCUUUUUUAUUGAGGAAUUUCAAGGCACAUUAAAAAAAAAUAUCCCUUUGUAAGGAAAAGAAAUCCAGAAAUUUUAGGUUAGAGGAGCCUUUUGGAAUGCACUACCCUGUUACCUUCAAUCACGUCUCUCCUGAGUCUGAGUUCUUGUUUUCCAAAGAAUAGUGAAAAUCUAUUUUUCUCCCUUAGUCCUCUAGUAGCCAGGUUAGAGUGAGAUCAGUGUGACUGUAUUAUCUUCAGAGAGGAAGCACCUCCCCUUCCUUAGAAUAGAGGCACCUGCUGGCUAAGUAGGCAACAGGCCUAAAGAUUUAGGGGCAACAUAUAAUUUCCAGUCCAAACAUCUACCAAAUAUAGAGUGUUACUGUAUUCAAGGCAUUGUGGAGACUGUGGGGUGUGUGAAGAAAUGCAGGGCAAUCCUAGCCCCCAAGAAGCUUGCAGUUUAUUUUGGAAGAUAACCAGCAAUAGAAGAUUGUUUACUUUUAUGUAAAAAGUAGUAUCUAUGGGAGUCAAGAUGGCGGUAUGGGAAGACACGCAGUUAGUCUCCCCACAACUAGGGCAUGUGCCAGCCACUGGUGGGGGACUCUGAUGCCCAAGGACACGGGAGGAACCCCAGAGUGAACCGGUAGGACAUAGGGGGACUGAGGGGGAAGGAGAAGUAGAGGCUGGACAGGGUCGGCGCCCCUGAGGCCGGGGAGAUCAGGAGAGGCAG